RNAcentral lists this ribosomal RNA (452 nucleotides) under uncultured organism. RNAcentral's name for it is "partial 16S ribosomal RNA". It matches the Rfam family "Bacterial small subunit ribosomal RNA", at positions 329 to 797 of the family's 1533-position model. The record is from RNAcentral.
ACGUACACUCCUACAGGAGGCAGCAGUGGGGAAUAUUGGACAAUGGGCGCAAGCCUGAUCCAGCCAUGCCGCGUGAGUGAUGAAGGCCCUAGGGUUGUAAAGCUCUUUCACCGGUGAAGAUAAUGACGGUAACCGGAGAAGAAGCCCCGGCUAACUUCGUGCCAGCAGCCGCGGUAAUACGAAGGGGGCUAGCGUUGUUCGGAUUUACUGGGCGUAAAGCGCACGUAGGCGGACUAUUAAGUCAGGGGUGAAAUCCCGGGGCUCAACCCCGGAACUGCCUUUGAUACUGGUAGUCUUGAGUUCGAGAGAGGUGAGUGGAAUUCCGAGUGUAGAGGUGAAAUUCGUAGAUAUUCGGAGGAACACCAGUGGCGAAGGCGGCUCACUGGCUCGAUACUGACGCUGAGGUGCGAAAGCGUGGGGAGCAAACAGGAUUAGAAACCCGAGUAGUCCCA